Molecule: long non-coding RNA, 433 nt
Organism: Polistes canadensis
Lineage: Eukaryota; Metazoa; Arthropoda; Insecta; Hymenoptera; Vespidae
Exons: 3
Source: RefSeq, a predicted model, not a curated record
UUGAGAAGGUACGAGCAAGCAAAGACGUGAGGAGAACUUAAUACAGUUUCAGGUAUCCUGGAUGCGGAAGAGGGAUAUGCAUAUCCUUAGCGCCGGAAUCCUUAUGUAUACUUCAGAUCUGAGGUUCCAAGUGAUCCAUCCGGACAAGUCUGAAAACUGGACGUUGCAGAUCAAGUCACCUCAAGAACGAGAUUCCGGGGUUUACGAGUGCCAGGUCAGCACCGAGCCGAAGAUGUCGUUGAAUUAUACUCUAAACGUCAUCGUGAAGACGCGGAAAUACAAAGAAGGGGGCUCAUAAAUUUACUUUCUUGCCGUUGUUCGCGAUCACGAGGAAGAGCUUUUUGAGAAAGACGUACAUUGACAUUAAAAUCUCGUGGCAACAUAGAAAGCUUGUAGUGGAAAAGGAAAAAGAUAAGAGAGGAAGUAAAUGGGU